AGCGAACGCUGGCGGCAGGCCUAACACAUGCGAGUCGAACGGCAGCACAGUAACCGCUUGCUCUCACGGGUGUCGAGUGGCGGAAGGGUCCGGUAUACAUCGGAAUCUUCUCCUCCGUGGGGGAUAACGAAGGGCAAAUUACGCCAAUACCGCAUACGACCUACGGGUGACAGCAGGCGAUCUUCGGACCUUGUGCGACUGAAUGAGCCGAUGUCGGAUUAGCUAGCUGGCGGGGCAAAGGCCGACAAAGGCGCCGAUCGGUAGCUGGUCCGAACGGAUGAUCAGCCACACUGGAUGUGAGGCUCGGUCCAGACUCCGACGGGGAGAAGCGGUGGGGAAUAUUGGGCGAUGGACGCAAGCCUAAUCCAGCCAUACCGCGUGAAGGAAGAAGGCCUUCGGGUGGGAGAGCCCUUUAGGUGGGAGAGAAGUACAGCAGGUUAAUACCCCACGAUUCUGACGGUACCCGAAGAAUAAGCACCGGCUAACUUCGUG
RNAcentral lists this ribosomal RNA (492 nucleotides) under uncultured bacterium. RNAcentral's name for it is "partial 16S ribosomal RNA". It matches the Rfam family "Bacterial small subunit ribosomal RNA", at positions 29 to 507 of the family's 1533-position model. The record is from RNAcentral.